Molecule: long non-coding RNA, 1154 nt
Organism: Brassica oleracea var. oleracea
Lineage: Eukaryota; Viridiplantae; Streptophyta; Magnoliopsida; Brassicales; Brassicaceae
Exons: 7
Source: RefSeq, a predicted model, not a curated record
CACUAAUCCAAAUAUUUCCGUCUGCUUCGUUACCCGUUUGUAACAUUUCUGGUCUUUAGGUCAAGAUUAUUAGUUCGAGCAGCUCUAACCCUUGCUAAGCGUCUCCAUCCGAAUUUUAGGGUUCUUCCCAUUUGUCGAUCUCUGCCGUUGAGUAGACUGAUUUGCUUAAGUCGGCGUGAUAAUUUCGUCGGCGGUUCUCCGAUCAACCGCAAAAGAAAGCCGACGUCUAUUUCGUAUCGAUUGGAGUUCUUAUCACUGGCCAUCGGCUUCUGGCACCGUUACAGAAUCUGUCUACAUUCAAGCAUUGUCAUUAACACUCUCAUUAACACCAUCUUCCCACUCCUCGCAAGAUCUCUCAUUCAAUACAUCCCAUCCUUCUUUCCAUUGUGUGAUUCUACAAUUAUAAAUAUGGAUGUUCAUUGUUGAUUGAAGCUUAAAGUUCACUAAUAGAUCAUGUUCACGAUUCUUGCUGUUAAUACUUGGAGUUUCUCUUUUGAAUUCGACGGAACCAAAAAGGUGGUGGUGGCGGAAUGGUCGGUGUUGGUGGAACUACUUCCGCCGCCUCCGGCUACGCUUCUCCCAACGACGCCGUUGACUACUGCCUCAAGUCUCGCGGCUUCAACGCCUCUUCUCUCAGAUCGAGUUAUCGUUCUCUGCUUCCAAUUUACGAGACCGCGACUUGAUGUCAAAGCGCGAAGCAAUGGUUGUUGUGUAUACUAAAAAAGAAAGAGAUGGAACACUUUCUGAACUCUUUUCUGCAGUGAGGUUGUUUUGAAUUCUCUGAAUCCUAAAUGGAUUAAGAAGCUCACACUCUCUUAUAUGUUAGAGCUUGUCCAGACAUUGCUGGAGGAGGUAUAUUCCGAUUAUCUCAUUAUGUGCUGGGGGAGUUUCAUUUCAGAUGCUUAAGAUCGAUGAGCAGCAGUUUCUUGGCGAGGCAGCCUGUACAUUGUCCGAGAUGGAUUUUCAAUCUUAACCAACUAUAGAAACUCUUAAUGUUCAGUGUGAGUAUAUGGAUGUGAGGACUUGACAGAAACACAAGUAGAAGAGUAAAGUGCAACUAUUCAUGUGGAAGGAUGAAGAAUGUUUAAUCAUGUUUUGUUAUGUUCUUUACUUUUCCGUUUAACUGGGAGUUUUCCUGCGCCAUGCGCAGAAAU